CAUGCCGCGUGUGUGAAGAAGGCCUUCGGGUUGUAAAGCACUUUUGUCCGGAAAGAAAUCGCGCUGGCUAAUACCUGGCGUGGAUGACGGUACCGGAAGAAUAAGCACCGGCUAACUACGUGCCAGCAGCCGCGGUAAUACGUAGGGUGCGAGCGUUAAUCGGAAUUACUGGGCGUAAAGCGUGCGCAGGCGGUUUUGUAAGACAGGCGUGAAAUCCCCGAGCUCAACUUGGGAAUGGCGCUUGUGACUGCACGGCUAGAGUAUGUCAGAGGGGGGUAGAAUUCCACGUGUAGCAGUGAAAUGCGUAGAGAUGUGGAGGAAUACCGAUGGCGAAGGCAGCCCCCUGGGACGUCACUGACGCUCAUGCACGAAAGCGUGGGGAGCAAACAGGAUUAGAUACCCUGGUAGUCCACGCCCUAAACGAUGUCAACUAGUUGUUGGGGAUUCAUUUCCUCAGUAACGUAGCUAACGCGUGAAGUUGACCGCCUGGGGAGUACGGUCGCAAGAUUAAAACUCAAAUGAAUUGACGGA
Molecule: ribosomal RNA, 531 nt
Filed under: uncultured bacterium
Lineage: Bacteria
Description: bacterial SSU rRNA
Rfam family: Bacterial small subunit ribosomal RNA
Source: RNAcentral